This 1032-nucleotide long non-coding RNA is filed under the name Canis lupus familiaris (dog). RNAcentral's name for it is "lncRNA (ENSCAFG00040002664.1)". Lineage: Eukaryota; Metazoa; Chordata; Mammalia; Carnivora; Canidae. The record is from RNAcentral.
UCCAAUCCCUACCCCGUUGCGCUCCUCUUGUCUACACCUUUGGAAGACAAGCCAUCUGUAGGGGCGCACAGGGAUACUGCGUUUAGCCUCCGCGACACCGGACCUCUAGGGCGCACAAACAGAUACAACGAUUACCCCCCGAGCACUGUUCCUCUUUCAAUCAACGCUCAUUCGGCCUCCAGUGCCCGGAGCUUCGAGGCCAUCGAAGCGCCCCGCCUCGGCGUCCCGGGGCCGCUGCUGGGGGCCCCUAGCGCGGCCGCCUGGGGCUGCGGUCGGCGCGGGCCUCCCCGCGGGGCUCCGGCCGCCAGGGGGCGCUGCGGCCCCCUCUCCCGGGAGCGGCCGAGCCCGCCCGGUGGGUGUUUCUCUCCCUCUCGCGCUCUCUCCUCCCGGCCUCACAUCCGGGUCUGGAGCGCGGCGGCCGCUGUCAGUGUCGGUGCGGGCGCGUCGGGGGCCGGGCCGGGCGCAGUAAAUGGCGGCGGAGGGAGGCGGAGCGGCGGCCACGCUCCGCUCACAGCCCCCGAAACUUUAGCCGCGAAGCCCCACAACUUUCCGGGAAGCGCCGGCGCUCCGGGGGCGUGGACGGAAGGGGAAGCCGAGGCGGGGAGUCUGGGGGGAAGCGGCGCGGAGCCGGGGAGCCUCGAACCCGCGGCGGGGGCGGGGGCGGUGGCGGAGUCCGCCCGAGCCUCGCGCCGCCGCGGCCCCCGCCUCCUCCUCCCCCGCGCCCUCCCCUCGGCCGCGGAGCCGGAGCCCGAGCCGCAGCCGCAGCCGGAGCCGGAGCCCGAGCCGGAGCCCGAGCCCGAGCCCGAGCCGCGCGCCGAGCCGAGCCCGGGACCGCGCGGGGCCUCGCGGGCGGCGGCGCGCCGAGCGACCUCCGGGCCCUGUUGCUCGCGCGCCCCCCGCGCGCCGGAGGCCGGGGCUCCGCGCGGCUCCGCGGGGCGAGGAGGAAGCCGGGGCGCGCGCGGCCCCCGCCGUCCCGGGGUCGUGGGGCCGGGCCCCGGGUCUUGCAUGCGGGGCGGGGCGGGGCGGCCGUGA